UCCGGUUGCAGUUCUAGCUCUUAUACUCAAUCAUUCCGAUGUAUUCCUAUUUUUACUGUUUUUAGUUAUGUUUUAGAUAUAGGAUUUUAAGUCUUUUUGUUAUGUUUAGAAUGUUUUUAGAGUCUUUUCGGGUAUUUUAUGGAGAGGGACAACAUUGGAGAUGAGGAGACAUUUUGGAGCAAAAGCUAAGGAAAAGAAGCUAAAGGACGAAUUCACUUUCAGAAUCAGUCGAGAGUGUCGAUCAACACACGCUUGGUUUUGAUCGACACCAAUUGCGGCCCAGAGAAGUCCAUCACGCUUUUAAGUUUGAA
Molecule: small RNA, 311 nt
Filed under: Arabidopsis thaliana (thale cress)
Lineage: Eukaryota; Viridiplantae; Streptophyta; Magnoliopsida; Brassicales; Brassicaceae
Description: ATSL089930
Source: RNAcentral